Molecule: ribosomal RNA, 943 nt
Filed under: uncultured bacterium
Lineage: Bacteria
Description: bacterial SSU rRNA
Rfam family: Bacterial small subunit ribosomal RNA
Source: RNAcentral
GAUCCUGGCUCAGAACGAACGCUGGCGGCGUGGAUAAGACAUGCAAGUCGAGCGCUAAUUACAGGGUAGCAAUAUUCUGUAGUUGGAGCGGCGCAAGGGUGCGUAACACGUGGGAAUCUGCCAUGAAGUUUGGGAUAACUCGCUGAAAGGCGAGCUAAUACCGAAUGUGACGAUUGGACUUUAAAGUUGGAUCGUAAGACCUGACGCUUCAUGAUGAGCCCGCGGCCUAUCAGCUAGUUGGUGAGGUAACGGCUCACCAAGGCUAAGACGGGUAGCUGGUCUGAGAGGACGACCAGCCACACUGGAACUGAGACACGGUCCAGACACCUACGGGUGGCAGCAGUCGAGAAUUUUUCACAAUGGGGGAAACCCUGAUGGAGCGACGCCGCGUGGGGGAUGAAUGGCUUCGGCCCGUAAACCCCUGUCAUUCGAGAACAAAUUGGUUCAAUUAACACCUGAACCAUUGAUAGUACCGGAAGAGGAAGGGACGGCUAACUCUGUGCCAGCAGCCGCGGUAAUACAGAGGUCCCGAGCGUUGUUCGGAUUCACUGGGCGUAAAGGGUGCGUAGGCGGUCGGGUAAGUCUGAUGUGAAAUCUCACAGCUUAACUGUGAAACUGCAUUGGAUACUAUUCGGCUUGAGAGUUGGAGGGGGGACUGGAAUUCUUGGUGUAGCAGUGAAAUGCGUAGAUAUCAAGAGGAACACCAGUGGCGAAAGCGAGUCCCUGGACAACUUCUGACGCUGAGGCACGAAAGCUAGGGGAGCAAACAGGAUUAGAUACCCUGGUAGUCCUAGCUGUAAACGGUGCUUAUUUGCUGUAAAAGGAAUCGACCCCUUUUGUGGCGUAGCAACGCGUUAAAUGCAGCGCCUGGAGAGUACGGUCGCAGAGUUAAAACUCAAAGGAAAUGACGGGGGCCCGCACAGCGGGUGGAAGCAUGUGCUUC